This 211-nucleotide unclassified non-coding RNA is filed under the name plant metagenome. Its description in RNAcentral is "partial contains small subunit ribosomal RNA, internal transcribed spacer 1, and 5.8S ribosomal RNA". The record is from RNAcentral.
UUUCCGUAGGUGAACCUGCGGAAGGAUCACUCAUAAUCAAGUGUUUUAUGGCACUUUUUAAAAAUCCAUAUCCACCUUGUGUGCAAUGUUAGAUCUCGUCAAUCUUGGCGAGAUUUUUAUACAUCAACUCAUUCUUUAACUAAUUUGUCUGAAAAAUAUUAUGAAUACUUAAUUCAAAAUACAACUUUCAACAACGGAUCUCUUGGCUCUC